Molecule: ribosomal RNA, 240 nt
Filed under: uncultured bacterium
Lineage: Bacteria
Description: partial 16S ribosomal RNA
Rfam family: Bacterial small subunit ribosomal RNA
Source: RNAcentral
CCGGCGCACGGUGGAGUAACGCGUAUGCAACUUACCUAUCAGAGGGGGAUAACCCGGCGAAAGUCGGACUAAUACCGCAUAAAGCAGGGAUCCCGCAUGGGAAUAUUUGCUAAAGAUUCAUCGCUGAUAGAUAGGCAUGCGUUCCAUUAGGCAGUUGGCGGGGUAACGGCCCACCAAACCGACGAUGGAUAGGGGUUCUGAGAGGAAGGUCCCCCACAUUGGUACUGAGACACGGACCAA